ACUUUGCGCAUGCACACUUCCUGCUUGGUAUUCUGACUAUGAAGACCCUCUGGAUGAACCACUAGCUCUAGCUGUUGAUCUGGGUAAUGUAUCUCAAUUCAGAGUGAGAAAUUCUGAGACCAAGCAGGGAAAAGAUGUGUGAUGGAGGUAUUACUGAAGUGUUUCGCUGGGUAUGAGAUAAGCAAGAGGAGAAUUCCUGAGUUCUGGACCCUACUCUACCCCUAACAACCUGUGGGACUUGAGCACCUAUCUAGGCCAUGAAGCUGUUCCUGCUGCCUGUGACACCCUGAGAGGGCCUCCCCCAAGUUGGAGGGGGGAGCAUCAGUCCUUAGUGGGGGUGAAGGCAAUGAGGGGUCACAAA
Long non-coding RNA from Bos taurus (domestic cattle), 361 nucleotides. NCBI's taxonomy places the organism in Eukaryota, Metazoa, Chordata, Mammalia, Artiodactyla, Bovidae. The record is from Ensembl.